AACGAACGCUGGCGGCAUGCCUAACACAUGCGAGUCGAACGAAAAGUCCGGGUUUUGUGGCGCACGGGUGCGUAAGGAGGGGGAAGCUGCACUUAGGUACGGAAUACCUCCCCGAAAGGGGUGCUAAUACCGGAUAAUGUCUUAGGACCAAGGAUUUAUUGCUUCUGGAUGGGCGCGCGUUGGAUUAGCUGGUUGGUAGGGUAAAAGCCUACCAAGGCGACGAUCGAUAGCUGGUCUGAGAGGAUGAUCAGCAACUCUUGGGCUGGGACACGGCCCAGACUCCUACGCGAGGGAGCAGAGGGUAAUAUAGGACAGUGGGCGAAAGCCUGAUCCAGCAAUGCCGGGUGAGUGAUGAAGGCCGUAGGGAUGUAAAGCGCUUUUACCCGGGAUGAUAAUGACGGUACCGGGUGAAUAAGCUCCGGCUAACUCCGUG
This 433-nucleotide ribosomal RNA is filed under the name uncultured bacterium. Its description in RNAcentral is "partial 16S ribosomal RNA". It matches the Rfam family "Bacterial small subunit ribosomal RNA", at positions 29 to 507 of the family's 1533-position model. The record is from RNAcentral.